Non-coding RNA from Paramuricea clavata, 598 nucleotides. The record is from the annotation of a GenBank genome assembly. NCBI's taxonomy places the organism in Eukaryota, Metazoa, Cnidaria, Anthozoa, Malacalcyonacea, Plexauridae.
CUGAAAUUUGCUAGUGAAUAAUUAAUGAGGUUACAUCAACAUGGCUGCCUCCAGUAUCAUUAUCUCGUGUACAUGCUUAGAACGAUCAAAAACUUAUUGGAAGACAUGUGGGCGGCUAUAUCGUCCAAGUUAUACGUAUAGAGAAAUAUAUUUGUUUGAUAGCAUAACUAAUUAGAACACGUAACGAUUUUGAUUCUUAGGGAAUUUUAAAAUUCCCUCAAUUCAAACGAUUUCUUCAUCCAGUCCUAGUUUUGAGAUCAGUGAUGGUAACUCAUAUAUAAAUACAGUAACCCACCAUUCACAUAUUAUGUCAAUGGACUUAUCCUGUUUUCCUCAAAAGUUACGAAAUCAUUUGAAUAACGAAUCGUUGUUCUUUGAAACAUCACAUUUACUAUACUAAUUAUGUAGGUAACUUUUAAUAGAGUUAUGUUUAUAGUGCACGCUACAUUAAGCCUCAAACCUCAGCUUUCAUUCAAAUAUACCCUUCAGGUUGUGCAGUGCGGUUUGGCAUGUAAGUAUCUUUUACAUGCAUGCAAAAUUUAACUGACAUUCUGACUGAGUAUUGUCAUAAGGGCAGACCAUUAGAUAUUUGAGGGGG